RNAcentral lists this ribosomal RNA (253 nucleotides) under uncultured bacterium. RNAcentral describes it as "partial 16S ribosomal RNA". It matches the Rfam family "Bacterial small subunit ribosomal RNA", at positions 524 to 776 of the family's 1533-position model. The record is from RNAcentral.
UACGAGGGGGGCAAGCGUUGUUCGGAAUUAUUGGGCGUAAAGGGUGCGUAGGCGGUCUGAUAAGUCAUCUGUGAAAUCUAUGGGCUCAACCCAUAGCCUGCAGGCGAAACUGUCGGGCUUGAGUAUGGGAGAGGUGAGUGGAAUUUCCGGUGUAGCGGUGAAAUGCGUAGAUAUCGGAAGGAACACCUGUGGCGAAAGCGGCUCACUGGACCAUUACUGACGCUGAUGCACGAAAGCGUGGGGAUCAAACAGG